AGCCGACCCGCGCCCCGCCCCGCCCUGGCAGGAGUGGCCGCCCCGGGCUCGGGCGUGGCGGGGCUCUGCGGGUCCCCCACCCCCAGCGCUGGGCGGUCCCGCCCUGCCGCUCUCCCUCGGCCCGGCCUGGUCCCGAGCAGCUGGGGAGCUGAGACCUAAGGCUCGGAGGCCGGUCCCAGCCGAGAAGCCCCGGAGAAGGCAGGCUGGCGCCACGCCGCAGCCGGGAGCGCUCACCGGCGGGGGACUCGCCGCAGCCCCUUCCCCCUCGGGCCCCUUCCCCCUGGGGGGGCCCCUCCUCCGGGGGGCCCCCUCCUCCGGGCCUCCCCCGGCCUCCCUGAAACAAAACCCUGGUUUCGGGGCCCAGAGAAGACUCAGCAGCUUCUUCCAGGGAGUCCCUGGCCCCGCUGCCAACACCACCGGACCGGGAGCAGGGCCUGGCCCCAUCCUUUUUAUCAGGGGAUGGCGACGACAGAGGGCAAGGGCGAAAACUGGGGUGACUCGGAUGCGAGUGGAAGCCCCCGCAUCUGGUAGAAGGGAGACGCGGAACGCCAGGCGUUAUAUGUCCUAGGGAGAGUGCGGGUGACCCUCCGCAACUGGGGAGCGCAAGCCCCCGGGAGCCAGAUCAUCACGCGCCAACACUGGGAACACAGAGAUAACUAAGCACCACGCCUUGUUUCAAGGAACUCCAGGCGGAUGAGUGCCUUGGUGCAAAUGCUGCCCCCAGCAACCAUGCUGCCACAGCCUGUUCACAUGAACUCUCAGCUAAUACUCACACCCUCGUCUGUAAGUCACUUCCUGUGAAAGCAUCUGCCAAUGUUGAACACUAUACUUGAGAACCUAGGAGAGUAGAGAAUGCCUCCCAUUCUGAGAGAGCCUGGAGCACUUCAGGAAGCAAGAGGAAAAUUGUGCUCAAUGCUAAUUCCCUUCCAGCGCAGGGAAGACAAAAGUGGUUCAUGUACGAUCUCGGCCCAGGAGCCACUUCAUACCAGCCAGAGUCUGCGUGGGUACGUACUGGGGAGAGCAAGGGAGAUUCCAGCCAGGGGCCCUUCUGACUUUAUCCAGUGGUCUGCCCAAUUCCAGUGGCAGCUGGCAGGUGACCUGUGUGGCCAAAGACUGAUGGCUCCCUGGGCCAUUACAGAUUCUACAAAAGAAGAGCAGCAUAUCACCCAGUCUCUUCCUAUCAACAACAGACUUCUCAGCACCGGCUCUAAGCAGCAUCUACUCCCAGGAGAGGAAUGCAGGGCAAGAGCAAACAUGGUGAGGUGGCUGCACUUCUCCACCCUUCACUCGCUUCAUUUUUCCAGGGCUCUUCUUGCUCAAAUAUCAAGCAAAGCCCUAGGGGCUGUACCAAGAGGGUAACCUGUAGCCCAUCAGUAGGAAAUGACUGUGGCCUGCAGGUGCUUUGCUGGAGAGUUGCAGAAGGCUGGGGCCUCAGGGCCUUUUAGUUACUAGGAAAUAAUGGGCUGUGACUAUAUUAUAAAUGAGUCCAAAGGUUAGCAGGGAGCAGGUGGGCAGGCAGAUACCAGGAUCCAUAGAGAAGGAAGGGAAAGAUGGAGAGGAUGAGCACAAAUUUAAUGAGCACUCUUUAAUUUGCCCAUGGUCACACGGCUGGCCAGGCAGACUGAACCCAGUUCCACAUGACUUUCCCUAACCCUGUGCUCUUAUCUUACCCCAUCUGCUGGACUGCCAAGGCUCACUGGGUGAGUUGGUACACAGGGCAUCGCUGUAGAAAAAGGCACUGGAAGGUUUCGGGAUUUGGUAAAUUGACCCCUGGGCCUGAAAACUCAAGAGGAAAUUAGCAUUUGUUUUCUCUGUCAAUAAAGGACCUCAGUAUUUUAUUUCCUUGUCUCGGUAAAUGUAUUUUCCAGUGUUAGGGAAAUUUCCCCUGUACCUGCUUCCCUCACAGGGCUAAGUGUCCUAGGUCAGAUGUACAAAACAGGAAGCAGAGGGAUCUAGGGUCAUAGUUUCCUUUAGACUUUUCCACAUCGAAGGACACCUCAUGUUCCUGGACUUUGGGUAAUGCUUAGUGAGAUAAAUCAAACACACAAGCUUAAAUAUCACACGGUUUCUCUUAUAUGAGACACCCAAAGUAUAAAUAAUGUGAAGAGCAACAUAAAAGAUGGAUAAUAGGAAAACAGGGAGGUCUUUUGCAAAUGGGAAGAGGAUAGAGAUGGAGGAGGAGAGUGGGAAGGAAAGGGGAAAGGAAGAAAAAAGAAUUAAGAUGCGUCACAUACAUUUACCAGCUCCCCAAAAUGAAUGUAAGCAUUAUGAACCACAGACAUGUAC
This is a long non-coding RNA of Heterocephalus glaber (naked mole-rat), 2286 nucleotides long. Lineage: Eukaryota; Metazoa; Chordata; Mammalia; Rodentia; Bathyergidae. The record is from Ensembl.